AUCCUUCACUUACACUAACACAGUACAAUUAUGAAAGUCAGAAAUUUAACAUUGAUAUAAUACUGUUAUAAUAGAUUAAUUAAACUAAUCUGUAAUCCUUAUUCAAAUUUUGCUAAUUGCUUCAGUAAUGUGCGUUAUGAAAAUUUUUUUUCUGCUCCAUGAUCCAAUCCAGUAUCACACCUUGCUUUAUUUAUUUAUUUAUUUAUUUAUUGAGCAGGGUCUUACUCUGUUGCCAGGGUGGAGAGACAGAGUUUCACUCUUGUUGCCCAGGCUGGAGUGCAAUGGCACGAUCUCAGCUCACCGCCACCUCCACCUCCUGGAUUCAAGCGAUUAUCCUGCCUCUGCCUCCCGAGUAGCUGGGAUUACAGGCAUCUGCCACCACACCCGGCUAAUUUUGUAUUUUUAGUAGAGAUGGGUGGGGUUUCUCCAUGUUGGUCAGGCUGGUCUUGAACUCCCGACCUCAGGUGAUCUGCCUGCCUCAGCCUCCCAAAGUGCUGGGAUUAUAGGCGUGAGCUACUGCGCCUGGCCUUUUUUUUUUUUUUUUUUUUUUUUGAGACAGAGUCUCACUCUGUCACCCAGGCUGGAGUGCAGUGGUGACAUCUCGGCUCACUGCAAACUCUGUCUCCCGGGUUCAAACAAUUCUCCUGUGUCAGCCUCCUGAGUAGCUGGGAUUACAGGCAUGUGCCACCACACCCAGCUAAUUUUUGUAUUUUCAUAGAGAGGGGGGUUUCACCACAUUGGCCAGGCUGGUCUUGAACUCCUGAGCUCAGGUGAUCUGCCAGCCUCGGCCUCCCAAAGUGGUGGGAUUACAGGUGUGAGCCACGCACCCGGCAUUCACAAUCUUUUUAAUAACCUCAUCGUAUUUUCUAAUAUGGAUGGACCCUGGUUUAUUAUUCCCUUAGUGACUGACUUUAUGAUCUUUUCCUUUUUAAAAUUAUUACAAACCAUGCUGCAGCGGACGUCUUUCUAGGUAUCUCUUUAUGCACACAUGCCGGUGUUCUCCAAGAGACUCUUCCAGACCCCUCACAGACUGCCAGCUGUACCUUUUUUAGCAGGUGACUGAAGAUAUACAUCUGUGCUAAAGGGGUCACUGGCUCCUUGCAGUUACUUCAUGAUUCCCCAUGGUUUCUACUGGUUGGGAUCUACUACCUUAGACUUACACACUACUCCUGACCCCUUUCACUCCCCUCUGCCUCAGGAGCCAGACAGUGACAAUGAGUGGCAGCACCUGCUAGAGACCACUGAGCCUGUGCCUAUUCAACUGAAGGCUCCUCUCACCUAACACAGAAAGAGCAGCCCUCAGGUUUCUUUUUCUGAAGGGAAAAAUGCCUACUAGAAUAGGGAUCAAACUUUUUUGAUGAUAAAUAUUUUAGGCAUUGUGAGCCACCAGGCAAAAAUGGAGGAUAUUAUGUUAAGUACUUACAUAAUGAGGGAAAACACAUUUUCACUAAUUUUUUAUUGAUGAAAUUAAAAAUAUAAAUGUAACAAUUAAAUAUACAAUAUUUUGUACUACAGGUACACUAGUGAGAAGAAUGAGGUUUACUUUGCUCCUCUGAAACACAGUGCUUUUCCUUCCUGGGUACUCGCCAAACUGUGUUGCUUAUAUCACUUUAUUCAGGUAUAAUUUAUGUAUAAGAUUUACACUUUUUUGAUGAAUGAUAAAUGAUUUUUAGUAAAUUUGCUAAUUUAAAAACUGUUAACCAUAGUUCAGUUUUAGAACAUUUUCAUCACCCCAGUAAAAUCCCUCAUACCCAUUUACGGUUUUUUUUUUGAGACGGAAUCUCACUCUGUCACCCAGGCUGGAGUGUAGUGGUGUGAUCUCGGCUCACUGCAACCUCUGCCCCGCGCAGGUUUAAGCAAUUCUCUGCCUCAGCCUCUGGAGUGACUGGGAUUACAGGCUCGUGCCACCACGCCCGGUUAAUUUUUUUGUAUUUUUAGUAGAGAUGGUGUUUCACCAUCUUAGCCAGGCUGGUCUUGAACUCCUGACCUUGUGAUCCGCCCGCCUCAGCCUCCCAAAGUGCUGGGAUUACAGGCGUGAACCACCGUGCCCAGCCUUUUUAAAAUUUAUUUAUUUAUUUAUUUUUAAUUUUUGAGAUGGGGUCUCACUCUGUCAUCUAGGCUGGAGUGUUGUAGCACAAUCUUGGGUCACUGCAGCCUCUGCCUCCCUGGUUCAAGGGAUUCUCAUGUCUCAGCAUCUCAAGUAGCUUGGAUUACAGGCGUGCACCACCAUGCUUAGCUAAUUUUUUGUAUUUUUUGUAGAGAUAGGGUUUUACCAUGUUGCCCAGGCUGGUCUGGAACUCCUGGGCUCAAGUGGGCUCAAGUAAUCCUCCCACCUUGGCCUCCCAAAGUGCUAGGAUUAUAGGUAUGAGCUACUGCCCCCAGCCCCCAUUUACAGUUAAUCAUUAUUCCCCUUUUUAUAGCUGGUUAGUAUUCCGUUAUAUGGAUAUAUCACAUUUUGUUUAUCCACUCACUAGUUGAUUAGAUAUUGAUGUAUUGGGUUGUUUCCACUUUUUAGCUUUUAUGAAUAAUGCUGCUAUGAACAUUCACAAGCAAGUCUAUGUAUGGAUAAAUGUUUUUAUUUCCCUUGGGUAACUACGUAGGAGUAGAAUUGCUGGUCAUAUGGUAAAUUUAUAUUUAACAUUUUAAGAAACUGCUGAACUAUUUUCCAAAGUGGCUGUACCAUUUUACAUUCCCACCAGUAUUAUAUGAGGGUCCUUGUUUCUUCACAUCCUUGUCAACACUUGUUAUUGUCUAACUUUUUUACUAUAGCCAUUCUAGUAAGUGUGAGAUAGUAUCUCAUUGUUAUUUUAAUUUACAUUCCACUAAUGAUGAAUGUUGAACAUCUUUUCAUGGCUUAUUCACCAUUUGUAUAUCUUCUUUGGUGAAAUAUCUCAAAUCUUCUGCUCAGUUUUUAAUUUGGUUGUUUGCGUUAUUGAGUUGUAAGACUUCUUUGUAUAUUGUCAACAUAAGACCUUUAUCAGAUGGGUGAUUUGCAAAUAUUUUCUCCCAGUCUGUGGUUUGUCUUUUCAUUCUUUCUCAUAAGAGUGUCUUUUGAAGCAAAAAAUGUUGAAUUUUGAUUUAAGUUCAGUUACUGUUUUUUCCCUUUGUGGUUCAUACUUUUGAUGUUGUGUAUAAGAAAUCUUUUCCAAAUGCAAGGUCUUAAAGAUUUUCUCUUUUCCUAAGUUUUAUAGUUUUAGCUCUUACAUGUAGGUUUCUGAUCCAUCUUGAGCUAAUUUUUGUAUAUAAUGUGAGGAAAGGAUCUAAGUUGAUCGUUUUUGCAUGUGGAUAUAUAAUUGUCCUGGCACCAUUUGUGGAAAAGAACUCUCCUUUCCUCAUUGAAUUGGCUUGGCACUUUGCACUUGUCUUUUGGCGCUAACACGUUUUCCUCCUAGUGUUGGAUAACUUGCAGUGUGGGGAGGCAGACUGAAAGCUCUGCCUUUAGGGAUAAGACUCCCUCUGGUGGAAUUCCAGCUGCACUACUCAUUAGCUGCGUGAUCUUGGACUACUUACUUGACUUAUGCAGAAGCUUCAGUUUCUUCAUCUAUAAAAUGGCUAAUUCUAUUUAUUUCACAGGGUUAUUGUAAAUAUUAAAUGAGCAGAUGCCAACAUUUAGAACAGCUAAUGGAAUAUUAUAAAAUACUUGGUGUAAAUGUUCUUCUUUUGAAGAAUAACCAUUUAAAAAUACAA
This 3687-nucleotide long non-coding RNA is filed under the name Homo sapiens (human). Its description in RNAcentral is "HSALNT0047325". The record is from RNAcentral. Lineage: Eukaryota; Metazoa; Chordata; Mammalia; Primates; Hominidae.